AAGCAAAACGCGCCAAGUAUAUUUUGAGCAUUUGCAUGUUUUGUGUGUAACUGCUCCCUUGCUGCAAGAAUAAAGACUUCACAGACAUCGGUGAUCUCAGGCUCAUUAUUUGAAACUUGGUCCCUCGAGCUGGAUCCCAACAUCUCCUCCGCCACCCAGGUACGGGGACCUGAACCGCAUGGAGGAGCCUAGGACUCACAUCGUCCAUGGAGGUUCCAGGCCAACCACAACAAGCCAUCCGUGGAGGUUGAGGCGAACCGCGCAGAUCCUACUUGGAGGCCGAGCCGCACCGCAGAGAUACAUCCGUAGAUGACUCAGGGAACAAACCACGAUCCAUCCGUUGAGGCGCAUCCUCUUUGAGGACAUUUGAGCUUUCAAAAAGACGCCAGGAUCGUCUGGGUGGUGGAGAAGUGAUGGGAUCAUACUAGAACUGCCGAGAUACUGCACUUUGAAAACAAAGACCCGGACCCCCACCUUAUAGAUGAGCUCAAACCAACUCACAGACUGAUGACCGACUGGACAGAGGAACAAACAGGCUGAAGGAGAACUGAAAUCAGACAAAGAAGUUCAACCUGGUGACUGGAUCUUCAUAAAGGUUAUGAAAAAGAAGUCCUGGGCAGACCCACGGUGGGAGGGACUAUUCCAAGUGCUGCUAACUAUACCCACAGCUGUAAAAAUAGUUGACCGUUCACUCCUGGAUUAAUCUCUCUCACUAUAAGAAGGGACAAGAACCACGGUCGAAAUAAUUCUGCCUAGAGUCUCUUAAGGACUAGCUCGGCUACAAAGGGGAAUGAAACCAGUAGGGCCACUCGUCUCAACACGAGUUAAGGAAUUACAAAGGUCCAGAGACACUAGUGAGCGGGCUCAACCAUGGCCAGACUGGCAUUGAACUUCCUAAUUAGUACUGCCUAUGAACUCUACGUUGUGAAAGGUAUUCAUACUCCAAUUUAUCGAGGCAACCCAGUGCAUGGGGGCUCCUGAGGACCAAUUAACACUGUAAAAUUUGACCUGUGCCAACAGAGAACUGGUUACAUCUGGGCAAAGAACUAUGUAUGUGAAACACCCUUGAUAGAGAGUCCUGGACCAACCAGGUACUUGGUGUGAUAGUUGGCAUAAUGCAUGGGGGCUCCUGAGGACCAAUUAACACUGUAAAAUUUGACCUGUGCCAACAGAGAACUGGUUACAUCUGGGCAAAGAACUAUGUAUGUGAAACACCCUUGAUAGAGAGUCCUGGACCAACCAGGUACUUGGUGCGAUAGUUGGCAUAAUGUUAUUUCUAACUCUGGGAUAUCAAAGUGGGGCUACACACCCCCACUAGCUUCACACGGACCUGAACCCCUGACCCAACGUAUGACUAUGUAUCAAGGCCAAACACCCACAAGCGGUUCUACAGAUGAUUGUAAUACAAUUUACCUCACCCUUAAGAAUCCGAAACCCUCAGAUUUUGGCC
Molecule: long non-coding RNA, 1450 nt
Organism: Pygocentrus nattereri (red-bellied piranha)
Lineage: Eukaryota; Metazoa; Chordata; Actinopteri; Characiformes; Serrasalmidae
Exons: 3
Source: RefSeq, a predicted model, not a curated record